AUGGCCGGCCAGCCCCGCGAACGCGGGUCCCGCGCCGCGCGCAAGGGCCGCCCCGUCCGCACGCCAGCGACCCUGCUCGCCCUUAACCCCACCCCCGAUCCCGAUCUGUCCGCGCAGGCCUCUGACGACGUCUCUCCGUGGGGCCGCUCGACGGCGGACGAGCUGGAGGACCGCCUCCUCAAGAGGCUGGAGGAGGCCUACGCGGCGGCGCUGGCCGGCCUCGCUGAGCUCGGCUACGCCGAGGACUCCGCGCUCCGGGCCGUCCUCCGCGCGGGCCACUGCUACGGCAAGCUUGACGACCCUGUCGAUAACAUCGUCGCCAACGCCCGCUCCUUCCUCAACGAUCCAGACGCCCCCGGCGGAGCCGGUGGGUUUGCCGACCUCCGCCGCCUCGAGGAGUACUCCCUAGCGGGCCUCGUCUGCCUCCUUCAGAGCAGCCGCCCCACCAUCUCCCGUGUCGAGGCCAUGUGGUGCCUCCUCGCCAACGACCUCCGCCUCGAGCAGGCCAUCAACAUGGGAGCCUCCUUCACCGAUAAGUCGCCCCACUCUGGCUUCUCCACCGCCGAGAGUGAUGCGCCUUCCCCGGCCGCCCCCGCCCCAGGGCAGCGUGGCUACUGCCACUUCCAUGCGACCACGGCCACAGAGAACCACAUGUUUGACCCUGAAACAUUCAUGCGUCUUGCGAUGCGCGCCCACACUGACAGCACGCGCCCGCACACCGAGAGCACUGCUGGCGUGGUCUCCUGCGUCAAGAACACAUGGUCACGGUCCGGCGGCAGCGCUGCCCCGGCCCCUGCUGCCCCAGAUGGGCAGGGGCAGCCCAAGCAGUCAUUUGCUAUGAAGGUGUCCACCGAUGAUCUCAUCGAGUCUGUGGUGAUGGAGCUUGAGUCGCUGGACAUUGACAAGAAGGACCCUCCUGCGGAGAAGCCUGAUCCCAAGAAUGAGAUGGUGCGUGACCUCAUUAAACAGACGCGGGAGAUGGAGGAGCAGCUCAAGGAGCGCAAGGAGUGGGCCCAGAAGAAGGCGGUACAGGCUGCUCGUAAACUUGGCAAUGAUCUCACUGAGUUGCGCAUGCUGCGGAUGGAGCAUGAUGAUAACCAGCGGCGGAAGAAUGAUAAGCAGUCACUUGAGGAUGAAACAAUGAAGCGCCUCACUCGUCUGGAGUAUGAGCUGAAGAAGAAGAGUGGGCAGCUUGACCGGAGUAAUGCUAGUGUGCAGAAACUGGAAAUGGAGAAUGCGGAAAUACGUGCUGAGAUGGAAGCCGCGAAGCUGAGUGCAUCGGAGACUGAACGGCAAUGCCAGAUACUGCUAAAGAAAGAGAAGAAAGACAGCAAAAAGCUUGAGCUGUGGGAGCGGCAAAAGGCCAAGCUGCAGGAGGAGAUCGCUGAAUGCAAGGCGAAGAUCGCACAGGCAGAUAAGGAGCUGGCUGGGGUCAACAAGUCAAUAAGAAAUAUGGAGGUUAAAAUAAGAGAAGACACAAAGGCCACAGAAGACAACUUGGCACUUGCAGAACAGGAACGUGGGAAGCGGGAAUCUGCGAAAGCUGAUGCUGAUCGCCGACUUGAAGAAAUUCGCCGGAAGACAGAAGUAGAGUCCCAGUGCUACAAAGAUGACCUCCGGAGGCUCCAGGAUCAGUUAUCCCGUCUGCAGAAGUCCAUGGGUGCAAAUGCGCCGACAGUUCCAUCAGCCUAUCCUCCGGCUAUGACUGACCGCAAUGCAGCGGGGGCACCCAAGCAGCCCAACCAGAAGGCACCGCCCGCAUCCAACAGGCAGCAGGAGCCUAUCCAGAAUACAGGCCGCCGCAGAGGCUGCAUUAUCUGCAAGAGGGAGGAGGCUUGCGUGAUGCUGCUGCAGUGUGCUCACCAGGUGCUCUGUGUCGGCUGCAACAAGCAGCAUGAGGAGAAAGGCGCAGUUCGCUGCCCCAGCUGCAACGCCAAGAUCGAGGAGAGGAUCAGGGUUUUCGGUGCCUCCUCCAACUGA
RNAcentral lists this ribosomal RNA (1980 nucleotides) under Triticum aestivum (bread wheat). RNAcentral's name for it is "partial small subunit ribosomal RNA". The record is from RNAcentral. Lineage: Eukaryota; Viridiplantae; Streptophyta; Magnoliopsida; Poales; Poaceae.